Molecule: ribosomal RNA, 558 nt
Filed under: uncultured bacterium
Lineage: Bacteria
Description: bacterial SSU rRNA
Rfam family: Bacterial small subunit ribosomal RNA
Source: RNAcentral
ACAUUGGGACUGAGAUACGGCCCAGACUCCUACGGGAGGCAGCAGUGGGGAAUAUUGGGCAAUGGGCGCAAGCCUGACCCAGCAACGCCGCGUGAAGGAAGAAGGCUUUCGGGUUGUAAACUUCUUUUAAGAGGGAAGAGCAGAAGACGGUACCUCUAGAAUAAGCCACGGCUAACUACGUGCCAGCAGCCGCGGUAAUACGUAGGUGGCAAGCGUUGUCCGGAUUUACUGGGUGUAAAGGGCGUGCAGCCGGGUCUGCAAGUCAGAUGUGAAAUCCAUGGGCUCAACCCAUGAACUGCAUUUGAAACUGUAGAUCUUGAGUGUCGGAGGGGCAAUCGGAAUUCCUAGUGUAGCGGUGAAAUGCGUAGAUAUUAGGAGGAACACCAGUGGCGAAGGCGGAUUGCUGGACGAUAACUGACGGUGAGGCGCGAAAGUGUGGGGAGCAAACAGGAUUAGAUACCCUGGUAGUCCACACUGUAAACGAUGAAUACUAGGUGUGCGGGGACUGACCCCCUGCGUGCCGCAGUAAACACAAUAAGUAUUCCACCUGGGGAGUAC